This 161-nucleotide small nuclear RNA is filed under the name Nicotiana attenuata. RNAcentral's name for it is "snRNA U1". It matches the Rfam family "U1 spliceosomal RNA". From Rfam's summary of the family: U1 is a small nuclear RNA (snRNA) component of the spliceosome (involved in pre-mRNA splicing). Its 5' end forms complementary base pairs with the 5' splice junction, thus defining the 5' donor site of an intron. There are significant differences in sequence and secondary structure between metazoan and yeast U1 snRNAs, the latter being much longer (568 nucleotides as compared to 164 nucleotides in human). Lineage: Eukaryota; Viridiplantae; Streptophyta; Magnoliopsida; Solanales; Solanaceae. The record is from Rfam by way of RNAcentral.
AUACUUACUUUGACUGUGUCAAUAGGCGAUCAAUAAGACCCAUGGCCUAGGUUGGUGACCUCCAUUGCAGUUUGGAGGGGUGCCCGCUUAAGGUCGACCCAAGUGGUUGAGCCUACAUCAUAGUUUGUGGUAGUGGGGGUCUGCAUUCGCGUGGUCCCUAC